AAUGCAUUUGGCUUUGGGUCCAUAGGGCCAUACUUGGAUUUGUCCACGUCACCUUUGGAGCCACCACUCUCCACAUGCCAAGAGAAGAAAUAUGCAUGCCAGCAUGUGCCAUGCUCAUGCCAAGUUGUGUCAAGCAUCAAGCACCCACAUGGAAUUUCAUUUCUUCUUUAGAAUUCCUUAAGAGUUCUUGGCUACUUACUUAUUUUGUUGAAGGCUGAUUUCUUUCCUAUGGUAGAUUAUAAUGCUUUAGUUUUUGUGGAGGGUUGAUUUUUUCCUUGUAAAAAUAAGAGAUUCCUAAACAAAUAGGACCCUUAGAGUCCUAUAUAAAUCCUUGUAUCUUUCAUGAAAGAAAACAAUGAAUGAUUUUACAAACUCCACAAAUACUUGUGUCAAUCGCUC
Molecule: long non-coding RNA, 399 nt
Filed under: Elaeis guineensis (African oil palm)
Lineage: Eukaryota; Viridiplantae; Streptophyta; Magnoliopsida; Arecales; Arecaceae
Description: long non-coding RNA (EGUI_LNC021120)
Source: RNAcentral